UGGGGAAUCUUGCACAAUGGGCGAAAGCCUGAUGCAGCAACGCCGCGUGGGGGAUGAAGCUUCUCGGAGUGUAAACCCCUUUCGACCCGGAAGAAAGCCCGCAAGGGUUUGACGGUACGGGUAUAAGAAGCCCCGGCUAACUACGUGCCAGCAGCCGCGGUAAAACGUAGGGGGCCAGCGUUGCUCGGAAUUACUGGGCGUAAAGGGUUCGUAGGUGGUGCGGCAAGUUGGGAGUGAAAUCUCUGGGCUUAACCCAGAGGCUGCUUUCAAAACUGCCGUGCUCGAGUGCGAGAGAGGUCAGUGGAAUUGCAGGUGUAGCGGUGAAAUGCGUAGAUAUCUGCAGGAACACCCGUGGCGAAGGCGGCUGACUGGAUCGCAACUGACACUGAGGAACGAAAGCUAGGGGAGCAAACAGGAUUAGAUACCCUGGUAGUCCUAGCCCUAAACCAUCAGAACUUGGGGUGGCCCGCGUAGGCGGGUCGUCCCGUAGCUAACGCGUUAAGUUCUGCGCCUGGGGAGUACGGUCGCAAGAC
This 533-nucleotide ribosomal RNA is filed under the name uncultured bacterium. RNAcentral's name for it is "bacterial SSU rRNA". It matches the Rfam family "Bacterial small subunit ribosomal RNA", at positions 355 to 894 of the family's 1533-position model. The record is from RNAcentral.